RNAcentral lists this transfer RNA (72 nucleotides) under Camelus bactrianus (Bactrian camel). It matches the Rfam family "tRNA". Rfam says of the family: Transfer RNA (tRNA) molecules are approximately 80 nucleotides in length. Their secondary structure includes four short double-helical elements and three loops (D, anti-codon, and T loops). Lineage: Eukaryota; Metazoa; Chordata; Mammalia; Artiodactyla; Camelidae. The record is from Rfam by way of RNAcentral. RNAcentral also lists the same sequence under 3 other names.
AGGGGUGUAGUUUAGUGGCAGAGUGCUCAUCUAGUAAGUGCAAAGUCCUGGGUUCAAUCCCCAGUACCUCCA